CCUACGGGAGGCUGCAGUGGGGGAUAUUGCACAAUGGGGGGAACCCUGAUGCAGCGACGCCGCGUGGGUGAAGAAGCGCCUCGGCGCGUAAAGCCCUUUCAGCAGGGAAGAAAAUGACGGUACCUGAAGAAGAAGCCCCGGCUAACUACGUGGCAGCAGCCGCGGUAAUACGUAGGGGGCACGCGAUAUCCGGAUUUACUGGGUGUAAAGGGGGCGCAGACGGCGAUGCAAGCCAGGAGUGAAAGCCCGGGGCCCAACCCCGGGACGGCGCUUGGAACUGGGUGGCUGGAGUGCGGGAGGGGCAGGCGGAAUGCGUGGUGUAGCGGUGAAAUGCGUAGAUAUCAGGCAGAACACCGAUGGCGAAGGCGGUCUGCUGGACUGCAACUGACGUUGAGGCACGAAAGCGUGGGGAGCGAACAGGAUUAGAUACCCGUGUAGUC
Molecule: ribosomal RNA, 440 nt
Filed under: uncultured bacterium
Lineage: Bacteria
Description: partial 16S ribosomal RNA
Rfam family: Bacterial small subunit ribosomal RNA
Source: RNAcentral